GCGGAAGUAGUUCAGUGGUAGAACAUCACCUUGCCAUGGUGGGGGUCGCGGGUUCGAAUCCCGUCUUCCGCUC
Molecule: transfer RNA, 73 nt
Filed under: Lactobacillus helveticus
Lineage: Bacteria; Bacillati; Bacillota; Bacilli; Lactobacillales; Lactobacillaceae
Also listed under: 4 other names
Description: tRNA-Gly
Rfam family: tRNA
About the family: Transfer RNA (tRNA) molecules are approximately 80 nucleotides in length. Their secondary structure includes four short double-helical elements and three loops (D, anti-codon, and T loops). Further hydrogen bonds mediate the characteristic L-shaped molecular structure. tRNAs have two regions of fundamental functional importance: the anti-codon, which is responsible for specific mRNA codon recognition, and the 3' end, to which the tRNAs corresponding amino acid is attached (by aminoacyl-tRNA synthetases). tRNAs cope with the degeneracy of the genetic code in two manners: having more than one tRNA (with a specific anti-codon) for a particular amino acid; and 'wobble' base-pairing, i.e. permitting non-standard base-pairing at the 3rd anti-codon position.
Source: RNAcentral